RNAcentral lists this transfer RNA (76 nucleotides) under Vitis amurensis. RNAcentral describes it as "tRNA-Val". Lineage: Eukaryota; Viridiplantae; Streptophyta; Magnoliopsida; Vitales; Vitaceae. The record is from RNAcentral.
AAUUGAGAGAAAUUUCUGAAGAAUAUUGUGAUGGGCUGAACCGAGAAGGUCUACGGUUCGAGUCCGUAUAGCCCUA